UUUUUGGGAUCCCUCUGGAAGCCGCUUUGCUCCCCCAGCCGGGGCUGCCCCGGGAGAGGCCGGAUCCGGGGGGGUUCAGGAAUUCCCGAAUUCUUGGGAAUCUCGGGAAUUUUUUGGGAAGAAGCGAAGGUUCCCGAGGCCCUUCCCGGGCUCGGGGUUUGUGGGACGCCCUCGGGACGAUCCCGGGGAUUUGGCAGCAGGAAAACAGGGAAUGGCUCAUCCCGGGAGCUGAGUCAUGGAACCAGGGCGGCGCCCGGGCGGAAAAUUCGGGAUGAGGGAGCCGGGUUUGUCUUCCCAGAGCUGCUGGAGCUCCCAGGAAUCCCAUUGUCCAUCCUUUUCCAUGGAUUCAUCACCCCAGAAUUCCAGCUUUGCCUCCCCAACGGCGCUGAGUUCCCAGGAUUCCCAUUAUUUCCCAUCCAGGGUUCCCAUUAUUUCCCAUCCAGGAUUCCCAUUAUUUCCCACCCAGGAUUCCCAUUAUUUCCCACCCAGGAUUCCCAUUAUUUCCCACCCAGGAUUCCCAUUUUUUCCCACCCAGGAAUUCCAUUUUUUCCCGUCCCUUUUCCUGGAGCCGAGUGUGGGCAAAGGGGGGUGAGGAGAAGGAAUCCAUGGAUUCGUCACCCCGGAAUUCCAGCGCUCCCGACGCUCCUGGGUGGCUCCAGGAAUCCCGAAGCCAAGCGUGGCCCAAAUCCCGGGAGCGGCCGGACCGGUUCCGGAGCCUCUCCGGGAGCUGGGAAUGAUCCCAGGCCGGAUCCCGAAUCCAGGCCUCAGCCCAGAGCCGGCCCUGGGAAAUGGGAAUUCGGGAAUUUUCCCGGAGGAAGCGCUCUGGGAUUCCAGGAUGGGAUCGGGACCUCCCGGAGGGGAAAAUUCGGGAAUGAGGGAUUGAUCCGAGUGUCCUUCUCCUCGCCCCGCUGGGAUGGGGCUGGAAUUCCCGAGCCCGGGAUUCCUGCAGGAAUUCCCGGGAUUGGCCUGGAGGGUCCUGGGGAGGGAAAAGGGAACAGGGAAAGGGAUGGAAUCCCUGGAGGCAGCGGAAUUCCAGGGAAGCGAGGCCGGAGGAGUCCCUGGAGAUCCUGGAAUGGGUCGGGAUUCCUGGAAAAUCCCGGGGAGAUCCCGAGACGGGGAUAA
This 1122-nucleotide long non-coding RNA is filed under the name Cyanistes caeruleus (blue tit). RNAcentral's name for it is "lncRNA (ENSCCEG00000017501.1)". The record is from RNAcentral. Lineage: Eukaryota; Metazoa; Chordata; Aves; Passeriformes; Paridae.